RNAcentral lists this non-coding RNA (24 nucleotides) under Arabidopsis thaliana (thale cress). The record is from RNAcentral. Lineage: Eukaryota; Viridiplantae; Streptophyta; Magnoliopsida; Brassicales; Brassicaceae.
CACUUGUUUGUCAGUUGCUGAUGC